UGACCUCGGAUCAGGUAGGGAUACCCGCUGAACUUAAGCAUAUCAAUAAGCGGAGGAAAAGAAACCAACAGGGAUUGCCCCAGUAACGGCGAGUGAAGCGGCAAGAGCUCAAAUUUGAAAGCUGGCCCCCUCGGGGUCCGCAUUGUAAUUUGCAGAGGAUGCUUCGGGAGCGGUCCCCAUCUAAGUACCCUGGAACGGGUCGUCAUAGAGGGUGAGAAUCCCGUAUGGGAUGGGGUGUCCGCGCCCGUGUGAAGCUCCUUCGACGAGUCGAGUUGUUUGGGAAUGCAGCUCUAAAUGGGUGGUAAAUUUCAUCUAAAGCUAAAUAUUGGCCGGAGACCGAUAGCGCACAAGUAGAGUGAUCGAAAGAUGAAAAGCACUUUGAAAAGAGAGUUAAAAAGCACGUGAAAUUGUUGAAAGGGAAGCGCUUGCGACCAGACUCGCCCACGGGGUUCAGCCGGCAUUCGUGCCGGUGUACUUCCCCGCGGGCGGGCCAGCGUCGGUUUGGGCGGCCGGUCAAAGGCCCUCGGAAUGUAACGCCCCUCGGGGCGUCUUAUAGCCGAGGGUGCCAUGCGGCCUGCCCGGACCGAGGAACGCGCUUCGGCUCGGACGCUGGCAUAAUGGUCGUAAGCGACC
Molecule: ribosomal RNA, 633 nt
Filed under: Penicillium cinnamopurpureum
Lineage: Eukaryota; Fungi; Ascomycota; Eurotiomycetes; Eurotiales; Aspergillaceae
Description: eukaryotic LSU rRNA
Rfam family: Eukaryotic large subunit ribosomal RNA
Source: RNAcentral